This is a long non-coding RNA of Lynx canadensis (Canada lynx), 397 nucleotides long. RefSeq lists it as uncharacterized. Lineage: Eukaryota; Metazoa; Chordata; Mammalia; Carnivora; Felidae. The record is from RefSeq and is a predicted model, not a curated record. The transcript has 3 exons.
AUUCAGAAGACAUUGGAUAUCUUCUCUUCUAGGGCUUGGAAUUUUUCUACCCAGCUAAGAAGGCAACAACCCCAAGAUCCCUCCAUGGAAAUGGUUUCCUAAUUGAAAUGUGCCGAAGCAAUUGAAAUGUGGUACCUCAGUGAAUUACUGUCAGACACCGUAACCUUUCGACCAGCUAGAAUCUUGUCGUGAGAGGAGACCGUGUACGUUGGUGAAAGUUUAGAAAAAAGAAUCCCCCUUAUUCAAUCAACUAACAAAGACCCAUGGAGUACCCCGGUGGGGGCCCCAAAGAAGAUGCAAAGAAGAAAAACACAAUCUUUGCCCUGAAGGAGUCGUCAUCUUUUGAGGAAACAAAACAUCAUGUCAUAGUUAUACUGUAGUGAGCUCAAGCUCUCAA